UGAGGAAUAUUGGUCAAUGGGCGGGAGCCUGAACCAGCCAAGCCGCGCGAGGGAGGAAGGCCCUAUGGGUCGUAAACCUCUUUUGUCAGGGAACAAAAAGCGAGUAUGUAUACUAGUCUGAGUGUACCUGAAGAAAAAGCAUCGGCUAACUCCGUGCCAGCAGCCGCGGUAAUACGGAGGAUGCGAGCGUUAUCCGGAUUUAUUGGGUUUAAAGGGUGCGUAGGCGGCGGUGCAAGUCAGCGGUAAAAGCCCGGGGCUCAACCCCGGCGAGCCGUUGAAACUGCAGUGCUAGAGAAGGCGAGAGGUACGCGGAAUGCGCAGUGUAGCGGUGAAAUGCUUAGAUAUUGCGCAGAACUCCGAUUGCGAAGGCAGCGUACUGGCGCCUGACUGACGCUGAGGCACGAAAGCGUGGGGAUCGAACAGGAUUAGAUACC
RNAcentral lists this ribosomal RNA (434 nucleotides) under uncultured bacterium. Its description in RNAcentral is "bacterial SSU rRNA". It matches the Rfam family "Bacterial small subunit ribosomal RNA", at positions 355 to 786 of the family's 1533-position model. The record is from RNAcentral.